This 88-nucleotide transfer RNA is filed under the name Crocinitomicaceae bacterium. RNAcentral's name for it is "tRNA-Ser(gga)". It matches the Rfam family "tRNA". Rfam says of the family: Transfer RNA (tRNA) molecules are approximately 80 nucleotides in length. Their secondary structure includes four short double-helical elements and three loops (D, anti-codon, and T loops). Further hydrogen bonds mediate the characteristic L-shaped molecular structure. tRNAs have two regions of fundamental functional importance: the anti-codon, which is responsible for specific mRNA codon recognition, and the 3' end, to which the tRNAs corresponding amino acid is attached (by aminoacyl-tRNA synthetases). tRNAs cope with the degeneracy of the genetic code in two manners: having more than one tRNA (with a specific anti-codon) for a particular amino acid; and 'wobble' base-pairing, i.e. permitting non-standard base-pairing at the 3rd anti-codon position. The record is from RNAcentral. Lineage: Bacteria; Pseudomonadati; Bacteroidota; Flavobacteriia; Flavobacteriales; Crocinitomicaceae.
AGAGAGGUGGCCGAGUGGCUUAAGGCGCACGCUUGGAAAGCGUGUAUAUGGGUAACUAUAUCGAGGGUUCGAAUCCCUUCCUCUCUGC